ACUCAAAUGAAUUGACGGGGGCCCGCACAAGCGGUGGAGCAUGUGGUUCAAUUCGACGCAACGCGAAGAACCUUACCUGGGCUCGAACGGCUCACGAACGUCCUUGGAAACAGGGAUUUCCCGCAAGGGACGGGAGUCGAGGUGCUGCAUGGCUGUCGUCAGCUCGUGUCGUGAGAUGUUGGGUUAAGUCCCGCAACGAGCGCAACCCUUGUCCUGUGUUACCAUGCCGAAAGGCGGCACUCGCAGGAGACCGCCAGCGAUAAGCUGGAGGAAGGUGGGGAUGACGUCAAGUCCUCAUGGCCUUUAUGUCCAGGGCUACACACGUGCUACAAUGGGCGGUACAAAGCGCUGCGAAGCCGCAAGGUGGAGCCAAUCGCAGAAAGCCGCUCUCAGUUCGGAUUGCAGGCUGCAACUCGCCUGCAUGAAGCUGGAAUCGCUAGUAAUGCUAUAUCAGAACGAUAGCGUGAAUACGUUCCCGGGCCUUGUACACACCGCCCGU
This 499-nucleotide ribosomal RNA is filed under the name uncultured bacterium. Its description in RNAcentral is "partial 16S ribosomal RNA". It matches the Rfam family "Bacterial small subunit ribosomal RNA", at positions 899 to 1397 of the family's 1533-position model. The record is from RNAcentral.